Long non-coding RNA from Herpailurus yagouaroundi (jaguarundi), 9920 nucleotides. RefSeq lists it as uncharacterized. NCBI's taxonomy places the organism in Eukaryota, Metazoa, Chordata, Mammalia, Carnivora, Felidae. The record is from RefSeq and is a predicted model, not a curated record. The transcript is spliced from 10 exons.
ACAAUAGGUACCUGUAUUCUGCACGGACUGCUGGGCAGCACUGACACUCUGGAGAAGGUCUGCCUCUGUCUGCGCUUUCCUGGUUCUAUGCAGGCAGAUGAGUGCCACAGCUGUAACUGAGGCACAGAAUGAUAAACACAGUGAAGCCAAUUUCCAGGAUGGCGAGAGGGGGCACCGGAGGUGACAACAAUGACAAGGACCCAAGGACCGCCCUUUGGACAAGUUUUAGGUAAGAAAACGUGUACGCCCCGAUUCUUGCAUUUUUGCACGCUUGUGGCUGAGAGAGACGUUGAGAUAGAAAGCGAGUCUCAGUAGGAAAAUAUUUUCGCGAGGGUAUCAUCUGUGCUGUCACUUGCCUGCAAACCUGUGUUCUCAGGGCUUUGUGUUACGAGAAUCGUUGGAGGUGAGGCGUGAGCAGGGCUGGGCGGACGGGUGAGCUGCUUUUUAUGUCUGUCUGCUGACAUUUAUCAUGCUGUUUAAAUUUGUAUCUGGAAAAAAUUCUGUUUGAUGAUAGUUAGCAAUGUUUUGUGCAACGUAGAGCAUAUGGCAGUGUAGAAUUCAAGUGAUGCUCUUUCAUUCUUAAUUUGAAAUUAUUUUUAUACUCAACUGUACUGAGGUCACAGAGUUUUAAAAAUUAAUGAGAUUCCCUGUGGAGUUCAAAUAGUAAUGUCUACGUGAGCUGACACAAAAAAGAUAAGAUAUAGCUGGUAUAUGUUUAAGGUGGAUUUAACUGUCUUAAUGGAACAUACUCCAUUUGAAAUGUAUCAAUUGUACAAUAGUUUAUGGAAACCUAAGUAUUGGGGGAUAUUAGUCCUUAAAUUUUUUUUAAUGACCUGGAGACGUUUUGUCAAAACUAGCUAUAGAAGAGGAGUAGAUUGUGUGGAGGCAUUGCUAAAACUUGAUAGACAUAAUUGUUCUGGCAGUGGAGAAUACCUUACACUUUCGAGGAAAUGACAAAUAAUGAAUGAACCACAUGCUAAAAAAUAUGCAAGAGUGUGCUUUCAUCUUAAGUAAUAUAUAAAAAUUCAGGAGAUUUUUAGGGUGAAAAACUGCUGGCACGAACAAAGAAGCAAGUGUACCCAUAGAUGAGAAUUCUUUGUCACAAAAAUGAAUCCCGGGCAUGGAUUUAGGAGGUUAAGUGAUUUCUACAUUCUCAGUGCCCCACAGAAGGGGUGAGUCCAGACAUUUAAAAAUGUACUGAAAACUUUCAUUUCCCACAAUUUAAAAACAUUGUUUAUGUUCUUGAUACAACACAUUGUUUAAAUGAAGGGGACUGAAAAGCAGUCUGAGUAUACAGUAAUCGGGGCUAAAGAUGCUUUUUAUCUGAGUUCCCCAUUUACAAGACCCAUUCUGAGCUUCCUGUGAUAUAUUGUUAUGUAAAUACUGUGCAGCCGGGGAAAGCAGUACUAUGGAGAUUCAAUUUACUUUGAAAGUUGUUCAUUAUAGCAAGGAUGAAUGUUAUUUAUUUGAUGUGAUUCAAAGGCUGGAAAUGACUUUUUCAUUGUGGCGCCUUUUGUAAUGGGUGCAGGGUGAUCUAAUCUUUUUAAUUUUGGCUUUCACACCAGUGGAGAUGAAAAGAGAUCUGAACUCAUUUAUCGGUUGCUAGGUCCUUCUGGAGACCCAAGUCCUGUUCUUGGUUGCUAUGGCCAGGCUGACCUCAAUCUCUGUGGUUUGGGGGACUUAGGGAGCCUUUUCUCUCUCUUUCUUUCUUUCUUUCUUUCUUUCUUUCUUUCUUUCCUUCCUUUCUUUUUCUUUUUCUUUUUUUUUAUUGAGGAGCAUGCACCUUGAUUUAUGUCCAAAAUUGUGGCUGAAUGUCUUUGUCUGUAAGUGAUAAAUGGUGCCGAACAAUUCAUCAGUUCUUACAAGUAAACACCGCUGUCCCACUAAAAAUAUGUUUUGUUCUGAGUUAAUGGUAUGGAACAAGGCAGCCUCCACAAACAGCUAUCUUUUAUUGCGGAGGGGCCUCUGAAACUUGGAGCAAAGUGGAGGAAAUUGGCACGUAUUUUCUUGUGCAUUAGCAUUUCACUUGUGACUCGGUGAUACCACUUUAGGCGGAUUGAGGCUGAGAGGGCAAACCUUCCGUGUCCUCACUUUCUCCCUAGCUGGGGCCGCCUCAGACACAGGCCCUCUCCAGACGCCUGGAUUCGGCCGGGGGCCCUCGGAAGUCAGGCGGAGUCCCUGAUGGGGAUGGGGUGGGCCUCCGCUCUGCAAGCUCCCUGCGCUGAGGCAUAAAUGGGCAGAUGUGGUGCGGCUCUGCUGCCUUCAGUCACGGGCUGGUUCUUUGAGGGAAAGUUGUAUCCAAUACUGGCGACUCCCAGGGAUGUUCUGCUUGUGUGCUCCUUAAUGGUCCCUGGAUGUGCUUGCAUUCUAGAACCUUGUUAAGAAAGGAGCCGCGCUGAUUAAGGGAUUGUGGAGUAUACAGCCGUGCUUAGCAGAUGAGCCCUCCUGUAUUUCCCGCUCCCUUAAAAAGUGCUUAAUUGAUGCUGCAGGGAGCAUACAGUCCGCUAAUAAGAUGAUGCUGACAAAACAGCUACCAGAACCAGGCACUUACUCCUUAUAAGCACCGUCCGCUUCCCUCUGAGAGAUUGCAGCUUUGUAGGGUGGUUUUUUCUUUUAAUAGUAACAUGCUAAUGGUUUUUAUCCUAAAUCAGCCAGCGCUGAGUAUCUUCAGGAAAAAUGAGUUCCAUAAGAAGUGGCAUCCUCCUCCAAUGGGAAGAUUCUCAGGCUGAUGGAGAGAGUGACGAGUGGGUUGCCAGCUAUAGUCAGCGUGCACAAUGGCUGCGGGGAAUAUAUUCAGACAUGCCCAAGGAGGUCUGCCCAGGGGGAAACACAUACCUUUGAGGUUUAAAUCAGAAAGGAAGGAGAGGCUGUUUCUACAGGUGUCAUAGAAAAAUCAAUAUUGAGCCACGGAUUAUUGGAUCCCAUAGAACCAUGGAGACUUGGCAGUGAAAUUCUUCCAAAGGUGAGUAGGGGCAUUGAUUUUCCUUCUCAUGCCUGAAGAAAUAUGACACAGGAACGGAGGCUAAAUUUAGACUGGAAACAAGUCUGAUUUGAAACUAUGUGCCUUUAAAAAACUUUGUGACAGUUUUUUUUUUUAAUUAAACGAGGAAAUUGAAUGUGAGCAUAUAAAAUUUUUCUCAUAUAUUUUUCUUAGAUUUACUUUUUUUCUUUAUUCCUUUGCGUGCUUUUGAAAAAAAAAAAACGACUAUUUGACCAACAUUUUGUCUAUAAUUAAGAUCCAGUGAUUUCCUGUACAACAUAAAACAGUCUCGCUCUUAAACCUCUAACCACGACUGCAAUAGUCCUUCACCUUCUAAGAAAAAGCAUAUUAUUUAUACAAUCACACUUAAAAAUAUGUGCCAUGAUUUUUAGACGCGUACUUGCUUACUUGUUUCUUUGUUUUACAGUUUCUCCUAGACUUUGAAAAGUUGAAAAGCUCCACAUAACGCAUUGGUUGUUUUCCUGCAUUGCUUAGCAUUCCAUCCUUGCAGGCAGACGGUGUUCCUAGGUUUGGAAGGAUAAAUCCCAGGGGAAGUGAGCUGAAGAACAUUUCAUGCAUCACUCAUCCUAUUAUGAGCCCUGUGGUGUUCCAUCUCUCUACAAGGCUGGCUGAAACAACAACAGAAAUUGGUGUGUAAUUCGUAUUCUAACUUUGGAUCACCUGGUUAAUACUCUGACUCUGACUACCCAGAAAGACAAUGUUCUAUAAGAACUAUCUGUUAAAAGGUCUGCUGCUGCAUUAUUAAUAAAAUAACAGGGAAAAUGCGAUGAUCUGGAUGUCCCAUCUGAUGAGGUAAGGUUUUAUCAUGUCCCAUAAAAUGAGAUUACAUUUGAUUUUAUUUAUCAUUAUCCCAGCCCCAAGAAAGUUUGCAUUUGUCAAUUUGACACAGAAAUCUGUAAUAUAAAGCUUAAUAUGCACUAUCUAAACUGCGACCAAUUUCAGGCAUUAAAAGCCAGGCUAUUUAAUGUAUUUUAUUUAUGUGUAAAUUACAUUAUCGUUACUGUUUUUCUAUCCUUUUCAGCUUGGAAAAUUGUAACUCAGUAUAUCGCACAACAUACUUCAAUAAAAAUAAAUUAUGUAUAUUAUAGUUCUUAUGGGGGGCAAAGGCAUACUAUUUUACUGACCUUUGGUGAGGUUUCACUUUUGAUGUGUGAAUUUUUAAAUGUGAACAAACCAAAAACAGUGGCAUACUUGGAAGUAAUCUAAAGCUAAAAUGGGAAAUGAAGAUUUUGUGGUAAGUGCCAGCCUCGUGUUUGCUAUUGCCAUACUUCGGCAUCUGCCUGAGAAGAAAAAAAAGUACAAAAGACAAUGGAGAGAUGAUGGAGGAGCUGGGCAUAUGGAAAGUUCCAGGUGCCUGUGGAUACAAUAUGAGGAUACUCAAAUAUCUAGUCCUCUUUUUUUGAUACCUAUCCUGUAAUCCAUCAGAGUGGCCACGUGCUCUCUUUGUAGUUCAAAAAUAUUAGUGUUUUCAACAUCAGUGCCCAUUAUGGCUAUACCAAAAUCCCCUUCUAUGUGUAAAAUAUAUCUUACCCAUAUCUGAGCAACAUGAUUGUAGCCCUUCUCUCUUUAGGUUAAGCACAUUGUAUGACUUCUCUUAAAAUGUUGCAAAGAUGAAUUUCCACUAGAUAAUUUGUAGUUGGUAAAAUAUCAUGAAUUUUUCAGGGGAAAAGUGGCAAUUAAUGGAAACAUAAUUAUCUUCAAUGUGAAAAUAGUCUGGGAUGCUAACUUUGGCGAGCACAAUGUCUCUAACUCAUUAUCAUUUUCUUUGCUUAUUUUGUUGUCAUUCUUCGGGUUCUUUCUGGAUCCAUCUCUCUUUUGUUUCCCUUCGACUCCUCUAUUGUAUUCCAGUUGGCAGUUAAAGAACCGAAACAGCAAUAAGACUGCGCAGGCACAUUUUCCCAGUGCCACCAACUGGGCGUUAAGCUGACUAACGUUUUGAAAGCCCAGCCCAUUUCGUUCACAGCAGGCAAGGCAGCGGUUGACUGAUUGUACCCGCCAGCUGGCUAAUAUCAUAAUUAACAAAGUUGCUACUACAUCUGCAAAGUUUAAUCGAAAAAUUUGCCAGUGAUGUGAUGGCAUUGUCACAAAGAUCACAAGGGACACGGAGUUGACUUUUGCUCAAGGUGGAAUGGCAAAGCUGUAUGGGCAAGAUGAGAAAUCGUGCACUUGUUCAGCCAAAGGUUAUGCUUCAUAUCACCCACCGGGGAGGAUCAUCUCUCAUGAAAACUUCCAAAUUUGAUUUUGAAAAUUAUUCAGAAAAAUUUAAGCCACGCUAUCUCCCACUGUAGGAAAGAAUAUACUCUGGAGGUUCCUAUAAUUCAAAGAAAAUGGACUGGGAUAGCAUUUGGGUUUGCAUGCCACCAAAAUCCUCUCGAGAAGGACAUCCAGGUUUUGCUAAAGGAUCACACUGUGGAAUCUACAACCGUGACAAACUUCUGCACUUACUGCCCCUUGAAAAACAAAAUAUUGGCAUGGGAAGGAGGCUAAUAAUGAAGGGCCGGGGAAGGAGGCCAGUGCUAGGAGGGUUAUCUCACUGCCUCAGAUGCUGGAUAAGUCCAAGGAAGCAGAAUCGCUUUUGGAUGACAUUCAGAAAGGCCGGAGUGAUUAUUUGGGAGAGAAAAGCCUGCCUAUUCUUUUCCAAGGUGCGUGACUGUUCCCCUGGCCUGCCCAUCCACUGAUGAAUUAUUAGCAACGUGCCUUAGACAAAGGACGCACGGGAGCCCCACCACACCUAGAGCCACGCUUUGAAGGAUCUGCCAAGCUCACUUUUAAUCAUGAGAAAGAAAUUACCCACAUGGAGUCAGCAGAAAAUGAGAAAGUAGAGCUCGUGCUGCGAAUAAUUCCAGCAAGUGCCAAGGGGCUAGUUGAGGAAUGGCUUCAUGAAGUGAAUAUCUUUAGCUUGUACUUAGGGUUUGGUUAGCGUAUAAUCAUUUUCUCUUUUAGGAGCGUUGACUAUCCUCAGUGUCUUUCCUCACUAAAGAGUGCUCAGAGCAUUCGUCAGGAUGUUGACAGAUUUAAUAUCAGUCUCGUCCUUGUUGUUAUUUACUAUGACUAAUUUUACAUGUGCAAAUAUGCAAAAAUCAAUUUAGGCGGAGAGGCGCUCCGGAGCCAACGACUGUUAAUCGCUGUAUGUGUGUGUGUCUCGCUUGCGAGUGGAUGUCCAGUAAUUUCUGUCUCUGUGUGUGUACGUGCCCUUGUUCUUGUCUUCUCUCCGUUGUGCCAUAGGUCGGGAGGUUUGGCCGGCCAAUGCCUUCUCAGAUGUGGUCUGAGGCUUUCAUUUGAUUUUUGGACCAGGAAAAAAAGAAUGUGUCACAUCAUGAUUAAUGGUCAAUCUGAAUUUUCAAUUCAUAGGAAAGGAGAAGGGGGAGGAGGAUAUGAGCCCAGUGAUGAGACUAACCUUUUCCCUUUGGGAAGAGCAUGAUUCAAAUUAAACAUCACUUUCAGUGUGAAAUUAGUUUGAAGGCUUCUUUUUUUUUCCUCCCCCCCGUGCCUGGUUUAACUCCAUGGUGGCUGCUCCUGCGGAGAGGACCCUUCCAUCCGGCCUCUGUGCCCGAAUCUGUUCCCAGUAGGCCAUAGUUCCUCUUCUUUUGUUUUAUUUUUCUAAAGACCAGGUCCAAGAAACCAAAAAAAAAAAAAAAAAAAAAAAAAAAAAAAGAAUAUUUUACUAUAAAAGCAUCAUUAUUCACAAGAUAAGAUUUUCCCCAAAACAUGUUAUUUCUUUGUGUCCCACUUAUGUUUCCAAAAAAGAAAAACAAAUAAACAAAUAAGUAAAGAUGUAAAUAAUGUUCUUCUUUUGAGGAUAAUUUUGCCAGGGAGGAGGAAAAGGGAAAGCGAGGGAUCCUUUCCAAAGACCUUUGAGUGCCCUCGGCUUUAUGCCAGUUUCUGCUAGCCGAGUGAGCCACAUUGGAGAACAGCAACCCCAAACCCCAAGCUUUCCCUCAGUUCUCUAGUUCCCCACGUAACCGAGUCACAGGAUCGCCAUGUCAACCUGCAGCAGCUCUGGCUUCAAGCAAGCAUAUGCCGGGACAGUCUGAAACUACCCUUCAGUACCUACCAGAGACUCAGGCCCAAGCUUGUAGAAAGAACCCACUGUCCAUGGAAACGCUGGGCCGCUUGCCCAUCUGUGCACAUUCUGGAUGCCACGGUUAGGCGUCAUCAGGAUUUGAUGUUCCAUUGAUGCUCUUUCUGGAAUUUGGCGGCUUGUAGAGAAAGGACAAGUAUAGAAAAGGCCAAGAGACAGGCUCCUUCUUCCAUGUCUUUUCAAAAAGAAGAUGCUAGGGCUUUGUAAUCCCUUUCCUACAGGAAGAGAGGUGUGGUGGGGGAGGGGAAGCAGCUGGGUGGGUGAGGUAGGGGAGGGGAGGCAGCUGGGGGCAGAGGUAGAGGUGGAGUGGGGGAGGUGGAAGGUGGAGGCAGAUGAGCAGCUGUGUUUAUUUUAAUACAUAUCAUUUAACCCUCACCUAAAAACAAAUUGGAGAGGUUUGGGAGUGCAUUAAUCUGGACCCAAUUAGCAUGUCUUUCUCCUUCAAAAGUGCAACCUGAGAUUAAUGAAUAUAAAGUAGAGUUUCAGAUGCAGUGCUUAAAUCAUUUGCAUGUUUCAUGCAUGAUAAUUGAAUUUAUGUAUGCACUUCCUAUCAUUUAACUAUUUCCAGUCUCCUCCCUGUGAUUCACACAAACCAAGAUUUCAUUACAGUAACCUCCAAGUGGAAAUAACUUGCCUAGACCUUACUCCUAAUGAGGAACUCAAGUUCUUGUUUCUUUUAUUUGAAUUUGAAUCAUACGAUAUUUUUUUUAAAAAGCAGAGGGAAGUUCUUAUUAGUCUGGGACACUCUUUUAGGAGGUGGUAAAUAGGCAUUCUGAGUUUAUUUUUGGAAGGCCGGAAAAUCCAUGCGAACUUAUGGCAUUGGCUUAUCAGUGGUCACAGAGAACUGGGUUUCAGUGUGGUCACUUAUCAAUAUAUUAAUAACUCUGAGAGCAAUGUCACUUUAAUGCAGCAUAAAGAACGUUCUUGGGCUCUGGGCCUGAGGUAUUUAGAUCCCUGGGAGAUUUAGUGCACCGGAUUGUUUCUGGCAUAGACCCUGGCUUCUAUAGAUGUGGGUGGGGGGAUGGUGUCAGCCUCCAUGAAGGUCUGUAGAUGGGCAGUUAGCACUUGUGGUCUCUUAGUAUGUUGUAGGGUUUUUUUCUUUUUUUUCUUUCUGUUUUGUUAUUUAGGUGUAGAAGGCUUAAUGCUGACUUAGUGUGAGCAGGUGCUAAGUUUCCCCCUCUCCACCUGCCCCAGAAUGAAAAGUCUGAAAGCUGGCAGUGGGCAUGGAAGAGAGCUUCCUGGGGAAGAAGGUGAAGCAAGCGGCUUAACAUAAAUCCCCUGGUUUCAGUUCGUAUCAGUGAUUUGUCUGUCUUCUGUCUUUCCUCAUGUGUUUCCGAGUCCGAUGUCAAAGUGAUGAGCUUUUCUGCAGGAAUUCUUCCCAGUGUCCUUUGUUUUUGGUGAAUUCAAUGGUUGAGUGUCGCUGAGUGUCUCUGGUCUUGUUUCCUGGUCCUUGUAGCUAAGAAUGUCGUUGAAGGAUAAACUCUUGUUAAUUUGUGAUGUCACAAUUUAAGUGUGCUUCCUGUCACUUAUGUGUAGUUUAAAAUGUUCCUUAAUGUAGCAUGAAAUGAUUGGUUAGCUUUGAAAUGGUUGUGAAGUCAUGUGAAGAAAAUAAGUUUUGCAUCCGACCAAGAUAAAUUCACUCUAGUGCUUUAUGGCUUUUUAUUCCUAUGUGAUAGUAAUAAAGUCUCAUGUAGGGAUGGAAGCCAUGAAAUACAUUGUGAAAAAUCAUCAACUAAGAAGGGGCCAUCAGUAUAGAAAACGGUAGCCUGUGCAGCUGUGAACAUGAUGGAGAAAUGACUUAGUGCAUAGCUCUGCUACAUGUUUGGUGUCUCUUUGAGUUUCUUUAUCCUUAGGUUUUUGACAGCUAAGGAAUCUAGGUUACAAGAGUUGAUUCAUCUUCGUAAUCAUCGAUUUACAUGCACAUUCGGGUUUGCACAUUUCUGUUUAUCAUACAUUUUUCUCCGUGUCCUAUUAUCCAAUGCGCUCUAGGAGAACUGUUAAUAGCCUACCAGUCUGGUAGGCAGCGAUCAGUCCUCCCAUGGCUUCUUUCUCCUGUGGCAGUCUUUAUUCUGACACAAAGAAGGAAUUGUCAAGUCAGACUUGACCUCUUGGAAAUGUGGUCCAGAUUGCUCUACUCCCAAGCUCCAAAAGGGUGUACAUUGCAUGGGCUAGAUCAACGCCUCCUCAGAUCCGUAAAUCCACCAGGCCAGUUCCAUGUACAGGUGUAGUUCCGGUAGGGAAACACCCACUGUCGGAGAAGGAGGAGGGCUUCAGGGUGGAGUCAGGUUCUCCUCUCUGCCACUUGGAGCCCGGGGCAAGUCUUUUCACUCUAUAUCUUUAAGAUUGGGAGAAGUAACACGGCUGGCAAGGUUGUUGUAAGGAUUAAAUGAAGAAAUGUAUACAGGACCUAGCAAAUUAUUGAGCAUGUCGGAACAAAAAAAAAAAAAAGCCCGUGAGAUUUGUUUUUCUAUUUUCUUCCCUUUCUUCCCACUCUCCUCCCCCUCCCCUUUCCCUGCCCUCCCCUCCCCACCCACCCCCCCUUUAGACCCCCCCUUUAGACAUUGGUCCAAAAACAGAACCUUUGAGAGAGCAAAGAGUUCUUCUAGAAUGUCUAGUUGUACCUCCUUUCCAUAUGUGGCUUAAAUGCCUUGGUUGGGUUCAUAGUUUCAUUUUUUUCUAAAUGAACUAUUUUAAUGUUGAUGAUUGACCUAUUUCACUUUUCUUUUUUUCUGUACAUACAUUUUUCCUUGACCUGUUUUGACUAUUGACCUAUACUCUUUUUUACUGGUUUUCUGUAUUUUUUUUCAAUGAGAAUUCUAAUAAAGAUUAUUUGUGUUA